RNAcentral lists this ribosomal RNA (498 nucleotides) under uncultured bacterium. RNAcentral's name for it is "partial 16S ribosomal RNA". It matches the Rfam family "Bacterial small subunit ribosomal RNA", at positions 30 to 523 of the family's 1533-position model. The record is from RNAcentral.
AUUGAACGCUGGCGGCACGCCUUACACAUGCAAGUCGAACGGUAACAGGUCUUCGGAUGCUGACGAGUGGCGAACGGGUGAGUAAUACAUCGGAACGUGCCUAGUAGUGGGGGAUAACUACUCGAAAGAGUGGCUAAUACCGCAUGAGAUCUACGGAUGAAAGCAGGGGAUCGCAAGACCUUGUGCUACUAGAGCGGCCGAUGGCAGAUUAGGUAGUUGGUGGGAUAAAAGCUUACCAAGCCGACGAUCUGUAGCUGGUCGGAGAGGACGAUCAGCCACACUGGGACUGGGACACGGCCCAGACUCCUACGGGAGGCAGCAGUGGGGAAUUUUGGACAAUGGGCGCAAGCCUGAUCCAGCAAUGCCGCGUGCAGGAUGAAGGCCUUCGGGUUGUAAACUGCUUUUGUACGGAACGAAAAGCCCCGGGUUAAUACCCUGGGGUCAUGACGGUACCGUAAGAAUAAGCACCGGCUGACUACGUGCCAGCCACCGCCGUAA